AUUCACUCCCUUUUCUCAUCCCCUACCUCAGCGAGCGCCCAAAUCAAGCCACCGGAGAAAUCACCACCGCUCCCGCCCACUCCCUUGCGCCGCCCUUUUUGCAUCCGGAUUGGGUAGAGAUGGGGCUAGAAGCCGACCGCCCACGCCGCUGGAUGCGAGGAGUAUGCAGCGGCUGUUUUGUCGCGAGGCCGGUGAUGACGGCCACCGGUGCUUCAACCAGCUAACGCCCCGGCGGGGGGCAGAUGCUACAACCGUUCGACAGAGGCGCUGGAAACGCCCAACAAAGGUGCUACGACGACAUGGCGGAGAUGCUACAUCCAAUCCACGGCGGUGCUGGGAGCUCCUGGGGACGGUGCUGCAUCCGUUCCCGGAGAAAGCUACAUCUGUUGCUGGUGAAGCUACAUCCAUUACCGACGAAAGUUUCAUCCGUCACCGACGGCCCUGCGACGACAAGCAGGAGGUGUUGGAACCAACUGGAAGAGGUGCUGCAACCGUUGCCGGGGAAGGUGUAUCCCUUGGUGGUGGUGCUGCAACCACAUUGACAUGUGCUGGAACCAGAUGGCCAGCGAAGUUGUUUUUGAUGGCAUCAGUGAUUUUUUUGCUGGAACCGGUAAUUUUUUUUGCUACUACCAGAUAGAUUUUUUGCUACAACCGGCAGCGAUGAGCUUCCUUUUGCUGGAACCAGUAAAAUUUUUUGCUACUACCAGAUAGAUUUUUUGCUACAACCAGCAGCGAUGAGCUUCCUUUUGCUGGAACCAGCUAUAGUUUUUGCUGGAGCCACCAUUCUUUUUUGCUUCCAUCAUUUUUUCUCGAAUACGCACGAGAGGGUGCGUAUCAUUCAUUAGAGAAGAAAGGGUACGAAACCCAUGUCCACC
Molecule: ribosomal RNA, 875 nt
Filed under: Triticum aestivum (bread wheat)
Lineage: Eukaryota; Viridiplantae; Streptophyta; Magnoliopsida; Poales; Poaceae
Description: partial small subunit ribosomal RNA
Source: RNAcentral